Molecule: ribosomal RNA, 545 nt
Filed under: Umbonium vestiarium
Lineage: Eukaryota; Metazoa; Mollusca; Gastropoda; Trochida; Trochidae
Description: partial 16S ribosomal RNA
Rfam family: Archaeal large subunit ribosomal RNA (bases 1-190)
Source: RNAcentral
ACCAUCCUUACUAGUAAGUGAGGCUUACCUGCCCAGCUGACUAAGAUGUUAAACGGCCGCGGUACCCUAACCGUGCAAAGGUAGCAUAAUCAUUUGCCUUUUAAUUGGAGGCUUGUAUGAAUGGUUUGACGAGAGCUAUGCUGUCUCUAUUAAAAUAAUUAGAAAUUAACUUUUAGGUGAAGAGGCCUAAAUUAAGCUGAGGGACAAGAAGACCCUGUUGAGCUUUAGUGUGGUUAAGUUAAUAAUUUUUUCAUUAAUGAAAAACAUUGGUUUAAUGAUUCGUUAGUUGUGGCGACUGAGCAACAUAAAAAGCUUCCUGGGAAUACUAGUUCCUCUAUGUAGUGUAGUACUUAUUCCCCAUAUAUUAAUUUUCUAAUUCUUUUUAAAAAAACCGGAAAAGUUUUCGGCAACCAUUCGGAACAAGCCUCCAUUUUAUAGGGCAAAGAAUAAGCCAACUUUGGGCGGGGAAGGGACCGCCGGGCGUUUAAAAUCCUUAACGCGGGGGAAGUUCCAACCCCUUUGGUUCCAAACCUCCCGAGAGAAAU